This 319-nucleotide long non-coding RNA is filed under the name Brassica napus (rape). RNAcentral describes it as "long non-coding RNA (BNAP_LNC002927)". The record is from RNAcentral. Lineage: Eukaryota; Viridiplantae; Streptophyta; Magnoliopsida; Brassicales; Brassicaceae.
CUCUAAUGUCUCUAAGAGGUGAGAGUUAGCUCUUUACAAACUUUCUCUAAUAGAAAGAACGAAAACGAAAACCCUAUUUUCUCCCAUAUUCCACCUGAUGGCCUCUAACGCUGUCUCUUUUUCUAUGGCAGUCACUCCAUCAGGACCAAAAAGAAAUCUCCGUUGCUGGUCCGAGCUUCCUCGAGAUCUCAUGCGAUCGAUCUUCGAGCGCCUUGGAUAGUUGGAUUUGCUGAUUUCGAACGAGCUAAAUCCGUUUAUCAUUGCUUGCGUCAGUUUUGGUCGUGUGAUAGAGAAGCUUGGUCAACAUUGGCCGCACAAA